RNAcentral lists this ribosomal RNA (762 nucleotides) under Bacillus cereus. Its description in RNAcentral is "bacterial SSU rRNA". It matches the Rfam family "Bacterial small subunit ribosomal RNA", at positions 41 to 785 of the family's 1533-position model. The record is from RNAcentral. Lineage: Bacteria; Bacillati; Bacillota; Bacilli; Caryophanales; Bacillaceae.
GGGGGUGCUAUACAUGCAGUCGAGCGAAUGGAUUAAGAGCUUGCUCUUAUGAAGUUAGCGGCGGACGGGUGAGUAACACGUGGGUAACCUGCCCAUAAGACUGGGAUAACUCCGGGAAACCGGGGCUAAUACCGGAUAACAUUUUGAACCGCAUGGUUCGAAAUUGAAAGGCGGCUUCGGCUGUCACUUAUGGAUGGACCCGCGUCGCAUUAGCUAGUUGGUGAGGUAACGGCUCACCAAGGCAACGAUGCGUAGCCGACCUGAGAGGGUGAUCGGCCACACUGGGACUGAGACACGGCCCAGACUCCUACGGGAGGCAGCAGUAGGGAAUCUUCCGCAAUGGACGAAAGUCUGACGGAGCAACGCCGCGUGAGUGAUGAAGGCUUUCGGGUCGUAAAACUCUGUUGUUAGGGAAGAACAAGUGCUAGUUGAAUAAGCUGGCACCUUGACGGUACCUAACCAGAAAGCCACGGCUAACUACGUGCCAGCAGCCGCGGUAAUACGUAGGUGGCAAGCGUUAUCCGGAAUUAUUGGGCGUAAAGCGCGCGCAGGUGGUUUCUUAAGUCUGAUGUGAAAGCCCACGGCUCAACCGUGGAGGGUCAUUGGAAACUGGGAGACUUGAGUGCAGAAGAGGAAAGUGGAAUUCCAUGUGUAGCGGUGAAAUGCGUAGAGAUAUGGAGGAACACCAGUGGCGAAGGCGACUUUCUGGUCUGUAACUGACACUGAGGCGCGAAAGCGUGGGGAGCAAACAGGAUUAGAUAC